Molecule: ribosomal RNA, 451 nt
Filed under: uncultured bacterium
Lineage: Bacteria
Description: bacterial SSU rRNA
Rfam family: Bacterial small subunit ribosomal RNA
Source: RNAcentral
UACGAAAGGCAGCAGUGGGGAAUAUUGCACAAUGGGCGCAAGCCUGAUGCAGCCAUGCCGCGUGUAUGAAGAAGGCCUUCGGGUUGUAAAGUACUUUCAGUCGUGAGGAAGGUGUUAAGGUUAAUAACCUUAGCAAUUGACGUUAGCGACAGAAGAAGCACCGGCUAACUCCGUGCCAGCAGCCGCGGUAAUACGGAGGGUGCGAGCGUUAAUCGGAAUUACUGGGCGUAAAGGGCACGCAGGCGGUUAAUUAAGUUGGAUGUGAAAAUCCCCGGGCUUAACCUGGGAAUGGCAUUCAAGACUGGUUAGCUAGAGUCUUGUAGAGGGGGUAGGAAUUCCAUGUGUAGCGGUGAAAUGCGUAGAGAUGUGGAGGAAUACCGGUGGGCGAAAGGCGGGCCCCUGGACGAAAGAACUGACGCGUCAUAGUGCGAAAGACGUGGGGAGGGCAAAC